This 1537-nucleotide long non-coding RNA is filed under the name Linum usitatissimum (flax). Its description in RNAcentral is "long non-coding RNA (LUSI_LNC003345)". Lineage: Eukaryota; Viridiplantae; Streptophyta; Magnoliopsida; Malpighiales; Linaceae. The record is from RNAcentral.
GGUCCUUGAGUUUUUUUCAUUACGUAACUCUACUUUACAUCGAACUUUUGAUCUUUUUCGGGUCCAAUUUCAGGCCCGAUUUUCGGCCCGAUAUCUGGCCCGUUACUGUAAUCAAUCAGAGAGCUGCCACCUCUCUUUUAAGUUAGAACAUGGGUGUUGAAUUGUGAUUGGUUUUUAAUGGAGGUGGGAGCCCCUUUGAUCAUUUAAAAGGACCAUCGAAUUUCUUUCGAGAGAGGGGGGGGGAAGAAAAAGAGGGGACUACCGACUACAACGAGAAACACCAACCCCAAUCCCAUCACAAGCAAUCUACAGCCCAUUACCACUACGCCCCAAUCAUAUUACACAACCCCAUUACAAACGAAAAUUGGCCAAAAUAAACAGAAAAUACAAAGCUCUUCUAGCCGAAAUUUUGGGGAUUCGAAGCUUCCGAAUUCCCAAGUUCCCGGAGCCAGCAACCAAGGGCCAUCCAUGCUGCGAAAGAAGAACAAAAUCAGCUUUUAAAGGUUGGUCCUCCCAAACAAAACAUCUUCCCAAUUUUCAAAUCAUAUCUAUGUUUCCAUUGCUCAUGUCCUAAACCCUUUUCUAAUCUAAUAAUCAUCAAUACUAAAUAAUCCGAAGAACUCACAGAAACAGUAAUAUAAAAAAGUAAAGACUGUUUUCACCAAAUGAAAGCUUACUAGAAAAUAUGAUUAAAAGGAUUCAAAUGGGCGAUUUCGAGUCAUUUUAACACCAUCAACAUCAAAAUUCAAAUACCGUACAAAGACUUAACAUGUGGCACUACAAUCAAGCAAAAUAUGGGCAUUUUCUCCAAAUAACUAUUGCUGGAAUUUUAUUAAAACUAACAAAGUGAUCAAAUUUUUCAAGCAAAUAAGCCAUCUUAUGGUGUUUAAAGUACUGAGUUCAGUUCCAUAACAGGACAGUCAAAUUUUCACCUUUCAAUCUACAUAUUUUAAUCUUAAUGACAAAACUGUUUCUACCAAACAAAAUUAGAAUAUUUAGAAUUAAGAGUUUUACCUUUCCUAAGAGCGUCUUCCCUCUUCUUCAUUUUUCCGAUCGAUUUCCCCUGGUAGGUUGAAACUGAGUUUUCUUUCUUCAUUCACCUGAAAUACACUUAGAAAAUCAGACUCUUUCUCUUCUGUCUUCGAAAUAAAUUAAACUACAAAAGAAAAAAGACAAAACAAUACUUAACCUUCUUCUCUUUGUCAGUUUCUUCGUGUCCCCUUCUCCUUUUCUUUACCGAAUCCUCAACUCCAUUGAAAAUAGUAAAGAGAACAAAAUAAGAGAAAGAACACAAACUCAAACCCUAAAUCUACAGAUCGGGGCUUGCAAACGACAUGCAAGCCCGGAUCGAACUAAAAAUAGAAAAAAAACACGAAUAGAAAGGGGGCUUUUUACCUUUUCUUCCUUCUGUUUUCCUUCCUUUGUCGUUGUGGGAGAAGAGAGGAGAUGGAGGCGGCGCGGCCGCCGCCGCUGAGAGAGAAGGAGAAGAGGAAGGAACAGGAGGCGAAAGAGAGGCAGGAAGAAGAAGAGGACAAAA